UAACUCAUCAAAUAACUGGGAUAUGCUGCUAUUAGGACAUAUCACAGCUAGCUUUGAUGAGCUGGG
Octopus bimaculoides (California two-spot octopus) is the source of this 66-nucleotide non-coding RNA. NCBI's taxonomy places the organism in Eukaryota, Metazoa, Mollusca, Cephalopoda, Octopoda, Octopodidae. The record is from Rfam.